CCGGUAAGUCGGGCGAUUGCCCUCUUUCAAUCUUAAAAGAGGGAGGAAAGUCCGAACACCCUCCUCUUUAAAAAGAGGAUAAAAUAGUAGCGGCUAACAGCCGUCGACCGAAAGGUUAGAGGUGCGAACAGAGACGCCGGAGUCCGAAAGGAUUCGGGCACCCCGUUAAGGGGUGAGCUUAAAGAGCAAUCUUUAAGGUGAAACGGUUAAAUCCUUAUUGGGCGCAAGAACAAAACCUUUGACAGGCCCAGGGGUAAUCAAGACAUAUAACCCAUUUGGGUGCUUGACCCGAGUUUGCCAGGGGUAAAAAGUAGUUCGCUCGAGCCCGAGAGUAAUCAAGGGCCCAGACAGAUAGUCGCCCCUUUGUUAAAAGCAAAGGACAGAAUUCGGCUUACAGACUUGCCGGGACA
RNAcentral lists this RNase P RNA (410 nucleotides) under Parcubacteria group bacterium. RNAcentral's name for it is "RNase P RNA component class A". It matches the Rfam family "Bacterial RNase P class A". Rfam says of the family: Ribonuclease P (RNase P) is a ubiquitous endoribonuclease, found in archaea, bacteria and eukarya as well as chloroplasts and mitochondria. The record is from RNAcentral.